This 345-nucleotide unclassified non-coding RNA is filed under the name soil metagenome. Its description in RNAcentral is "partial contains 5.8S ribosomal RNA, internal transcribed spacer 2, and large subunit ribosomal RNA". The stretch from base 1 to 119 matches the Rfam family "5.8S ribosomal RNA", at positions 35 to 154 of the family's 154-position model. The record is from RNAcentral.
GAUGAAGAACGUAGCGAAAUGCGAUACGUAAUGUGAAUUGCAAAUUCAGUGAAUCAUCGAGUCUUUGAACGCACAUUGCGCCCCCUGGUAUUCCGGGGGGCAUGCCUGUCCGAGCGUCAUUGCUGCCCUCAAGCUCGGCUUGUGUGUUGGGCCCCGUCCUCCGAUCCCGGGGGACGGGCCCGAAAGGCAGCGGCGGCACCGCGUCCGGUCCUCGAGCGUAUGGGGCUUUGUCACCCGCUCUGUAGGCCCGGCCGGCGCUUGCCGAUCAACCCAAAUUUUUAUCCAGGUUGACCUCGGAUCAGGUAGGGAUACCCGCUGAACUUAAGCAUAUCAAUAAGCGGAGGA